This 497-nucleotide ribosomal RNA is filed under the name uncultured bacterium. RNAcentral's name for it is "partial 16S ribosomal RNA". It matches the Rfam family "Bacterial small subunit ribosomal RNA", at positions 28 to 507 of the family's 1533-position model. The record is from RNAcentral.
GAUGAACGCUGGCGGCGUGCCUAAUACAUGCAAGUCGAGCGAACGGACGAGAAUCUUUCUUUUCUGAUGUUAGCGGCGGACGGUUGAGUAACACGUGGAUAACCUACCUAUAAGACUGGGAUAACUUCGCGAAACCGGAUCUAAUACCGGAUAAUAUUUUGAACCGCAUGGUUCAAAAGUGAAAGACGGUCUUGCUGUCACUUAUAGAUGGAUCCGCGCUGCAUUAGCUAGUUGGUAAGGUAACGGCUUCCCAAGGCAACGAUGCAUAGCCGACCUGAGAGGGGGUCCGGCCACACUGGAACUGAGAGACGGUCCAGAAUCCUACGGGAGGCAGCAGUAGGGAAUCUUCCGCAAUGGGCGAAAGCCUGACGGAGCAACGCCGCGUGAGUGAUGAAGGUCUUCGGAUCGUAAAACGCUGUUAUUAGGGAAGAACAUAUGUGUAAGUAACUGUGCACAUCUUGACGGUACCUAAUCAGAAAGCCACGGCUAACUACGUG